ACUGAUCUGCCAAAUGUGAAAGUGUAUAUAUAAGAUAUACAGUGGGAUGAAACUUGACAAAAAUUGUAUAUCUUCAUGGCUCUCUCUAGGAAAAAUGGCACAUUUCAGCCCCGAUUUUAUUUACUUUCACAAACGGACAUUGACAGAAAAAUAAAAUGUGAUACAAACUCUCUGUAUUAAACACAUUACAACAUGAUACCUGGAGGACAUCAGAGAACAG
This is a non-coding RNA of Pelobates cultripes (western spadefoot toad), 220 nucleotides long. NCBI's taxonomy places the organism in Eukaryota, Metazoa, Chordata, Amphibia, Anura, Pelobatidae. The record is from the annotation of a GenBank genome assembly.